AUACGGAGGGGGCUAGCGUUGUUCGGAUUUACUGGGCGUAAAGCGCGCGUAGGCGGACCUGCAAGUCGGGGGUGAAAGCCCGAGGCUCACCCUCGGAACUGCCUUCGAUACUGCGGGUCUUGAGUCCGGGAGAGGUGAGUGGAAUUCCUAGUGUAGAGGUGAAAUUCGUAGAUAUUAGGAAGAACACCAGUGGCGAAGGCGGCUCACUGGCCCGGUACUGACGCUGAGGUGCGAAAGCGUGGGGAGCAAACAGGAUUAGAAACCCUAGUAGUCC
This 274-nucleotide ribosomal RNA is filed under the name uncultured bacterium. RNAcentral describes it as "partial 16S ribosomal RNA". It matches the Rfam family "Bacterial small subunit ribosomal RNA", at positions 523 to 796 of the family's 1533-position model. The record is from RNAcentral.